This 84-nucleotide transfer RNA is filed under the name Pirellulaceae bacterium. Its description in RNAcentral is "tRNA-Leu". It matches the Rfam family "tRNA". From Rfam's summary of the family: Transfer RNA (tRNA) molecules are approximately 80 nucleotides in length. Lineage: Bacteria; Pseudomonadati; Planctomycetota; Planctomycetia; Pirellulales; Pirellulaceae. The record is from RNAcentral.
GCGGACGUGGCGGAAUUGGCAGACGCGCUAGAUUCAGGUUCUAGUGCCCGCAAGGGCGUGGAGGUUCAAGUCCUCUCGUCCGCA